Long non-coding RNA from Equus asinus (donkey), 1723 nucleotides. The record is from Ensembl. Lineage: Eukaryota; Metazoa; Chordata; Mammalia; Perissodactyla; Equidae.
GGGGUCAGAGGACUUGCAGGCGCUCAAACGCUACGCCUGGAGUUUAAAAGGGAAACUUCACCUCAAGGAACACGUGAAACCCCCAGACCACCAAGAGCUUCCGGCGUCAGUGCUUCCCCGGUGCAAGACUAGAGAUCAGAGUCUAUAAUUGAGUAGAGACUGGAUGUGAUUUGAGCUAUUGUAGUCUUCUAGAAGAGAUGCACGUGAAGCGCUCAUUAUAAUGAUGGACAGAGUCCUAGAAAGUUAAGAAUUCUAAGGUUAUUCAAGGCAGGAACAGUUUGGAAUUUUCUCCUUAAAUACACAAAGUAUCUGCUGCAUUUUCUAGGGUGAUGAUGAAUCGCUUUCAAAAAUACAUACUUUUGAAUUGAAAUGUCUCACACUUGAAGAAAGCCUAAAGGCAACUGAGUUUUAUUAAGUAUAUAAUUGUGUGUUGUGAGAGAAAUGCACGUGGCAUAUAGACCUGCUGGCUAUGUAUGGCAAUGUCACAUAUGUCUCAAGUUGGGGCCCAACCCUGAAACCUCAGAAAAAGAUCAACAAUAGAUGCCACAGUAAGCUGAUACCAGCUCUUCAAAGUAUAGGAUUGCUUGCUUUAUCAACUCCUUCAAAAACUCAUCUCAGAGUGACAGUAAAGAAAUGAAAUCAGACAAAAGCCACAAGAGAGAAGAGCUCAGAAGGAGGGCAGAAGCAGAUGCGAAGUUUCAAUAAAUGUGUGGACGGUCAAAAAACAAAGGAAGCAACAUAUGUUCAAAGUGAAGAAAGCAGUAGUUCAGGAUACAGGAAGUUUAGGGCUAAGCCUAAAGAACCCCAGACUCACCACAAGUUUAGGAAUAAGAAAGACACUGUGUGUGCCUUUAGGCUGUGCCCACUGAUAUGAGCGAGAACCCUCAAAUCUCAGUCUUAGCGUUUCAGGGUCACUCUUCAUGGACACUCCUGAUUGGGGGUUGGGACUCCUCUAAGCCCUGAGUCAAGGAUCCUGGCUGCUUCCAUCCUGGGCCUUGGCCAUCUUCAUAAUAUGGAUUCAACAUUAAACCAGACUCAGAACCGUCUAGGACACUCAGAACAAUUUGAUAAAAAUUUAUAUUCAAGAAACAUGAACAGGAUACUAUGAAAAAAGGAAGCCCCAGAGAAUGUGAAAGAGCAUUGGAAUUUAAAAGUAUGAUUGUUUAGGAUUUUUUUUAAGUGACAGUAAAAGAAAAAAGAGAAAGGAAAGCUCUUCUCUACUGAAAAGCUGUUAUUCUAAUAAAAGAAGAAAGGAUAAUAUUAGAAAAUUCCUAUUUUGUGACAUGUAAUGUAAUCAUUGAUUCAGGUCAAAGAUCAUCAGUGGAUGUUAGAAUCAUUUGUUGCCAGUUUUAUCAAGUAACCAAACAUUCAAACAGAACCAAUACAUCUUCCCACAGAUCAUUUAGUAAUUGAGAGGAGAAAAAUCCCCUACAGUGGAAAGGAUUGCAUUUACUUCCUUCAUAAAAUGACCAUACUUCACACCAUGAACAGGAAAACAGUCUGACAUUAUGGGUCUCCUGGUGUAAUUGAAUAUGAGGAACACAACCUCACCUAUGAAAUAUUAUUGCACAGAAAGUUCAGCUUUAAUCGGAACUCUAGUCCUGUGCUAUGCAAUAUGUUGGACACUGGACACAUGACUGUUGAGAACUUGAAUUGUGGCUAGUCCAAAUUAAGAUGUGCUAUAAGUGUCAAGUAUACACCAGAUUUGAUUUCAUAGAUAUAG